AAGACGGGCAGCGCCCUGCCGUCGAGCGGCCCCAAGUGGGUGCCCAUUCCGGCGCAGCCGGAAAGCAAGUGGGUGCCCAUUCCGGCGCAGCCGGAAAGCCCGCUGCCGACGGGCGUCUCGAAAGCAACAGCCCUCGCGGAGGCGAAAUCGGGAACGCCGUCGCAGCAGAGCCUGCCUAAGGCCAUGCCGGCAACACCGUCGCACCAGGGCUUACCGAAAUCGCUGCCCAUUGAGGCGAGAUUGACGCUACUGUCGCAGCAGAGCCUGCCGAAGGCCAUGCCUGUUGUUGAGCCGAGAUUGGUGGCACAGUUGCAGCAGAGCCUGCCGAAGGCCAUGCCUGUUGUUGAGGCGAGACUGACAGCACCGUCGCAGCAGUGUCUGCCCAAGGCCAUGCCUGUUGUUGACUCGAAAUUGGCAACAGCGUCGCAGCAGAGCCUGCCCAAAGCCAUGCCUGCUGUCGAGCCAAGAUUGGCAACACCGUCACAGCAGAGCCUACCAAAGGCCAUGCCUGUUGUUGACUCAAAAUUAGCAACAGCCUCACAACCAAGCCUGCCCAAGGCCAUGCCUGUUGUCGAGCCAAGAUUGGCAACACCAUCGCAGCCGAGCCUGCCCAAGGCGAUGCCUGUUGUUGACUCGAAAUUGGCCGCACUGUCGCAGCCGAGCCUGCCCAAGGCCAUGCCUGUUGUUGAGCCGAGAUUGGCAACACCGUCACAGCAGAGCCUGCCCAAGGCCAUGCCUGUUGUCGAGCCAAGAUUGGCAACACCGUCGCAGCCGAGCCUGCCCAAGGCCAUGCCUGUUGUCGAGCCGAGAUUGGCAACAGCGUCACAGCAGAGCCUGCCCAAAGCAAUGCCCGUUGUCGAGGUGAAGUCAGCAACGCCGUCACAGCAGAGUCCGCCAAAGGCAACGCCUGAUGAGGUGAAGUCAGCAACGCCGUCGCAGCAGAGUCCGCCAAAGGCAACGCCUGAUGAGGUGAAGUCAGCAACACCGUCAGAGCAGAGCCUCCCAAAUGCAGUGCCUGUUGUCGAGGUGAAAUCCGCAACACCGUCACAGCAGAGCCUGCCCAAAGCAAUGCCUGUUGUCGAGGCAAGAUUGGCAACACCGUCACAGCAGAGCCUGCCCAAAGCAAUGCCUGUUGUCGAGAUGAAAUCGGGAACCCCGUCGCAGCAGAGCCUCACAAAACCAGCGCCCACCGUCGAGGUGAAAUCGGCAAGCCCCCUUCCCCAGAGCCAGUCGAAACCAACACCCGUCACAACAGCACAGGCGGCCGCUCCGCCGUGCCAGAGCCCCUCCAAACCAGUGCCCGUCGUGGUGACACAGCCGGCACCUCCGCCAGGGCAGAGCCUCCCGAAACCGCCGCCUGUUGCCACAGCCCAGCCAGGCCUGACC
This 1386-nucleotide long non-coding RNA is filed under the name Struthio camelus australis. Its description in RNAcentral is "lncRNA (ENSSCUG00000003621.1)". Lineage: Eukaryota; Metazoa; Chordata; Aves; Struthioniformes; Struthionidae. The record is from RNAcentral.